Molecule: non-coding RNA, 21 nt
Filed under: Caenorhabditis elegans
Lineage: Eukaryota; Metazoa; Nematoda; Chromadorea; Rhabditida; Rhabditidae
Source: RNAcentral
UAUUUUACAUUUGCACAAUAC